GACGAACGCUGGCGGCGUGCUUAACACAUGCAAGUCGAACGGAAAGGCCCUGCUUUUGUGGGGUGCUCGAGUGGCGAACGGGUGAGUAACACGUGAGUAACCUGCCCUUGACUUUGGGAUAACUUCAGGAAACUGGGGCUAAUACCGGAUAGGAGCUCCUGCUGCAUGGUGGGGGUUGGAAAGUUUCGGCGGUUGGGGAUGGACUCGCGGCUUAUCAGCUUGUUGGUGGGGUAGUGGCUUACCAAGGCUUUGACGGGUAGCCGGCCUGAGAGGGUGACCGGCCACAUUGGGACUGAGAUACGGCCCAGACUCCUACGGGAGGCAGCAGUGGGGAAUAUUGCACAAUGGGCGGAAGCCUGAUGCAGCAACGCCGCGUGCGGGAUGACGGCCUUCGGGUUGUAAACCGCUUUCGCCUGUGACGAAGCGUGAGUGACGGUAAUGGGUAAAGAAGCACCGGCUAACUACGUGCCAGCAGCCGCGGUGAUACGUAGGGUGCGAGCGUUGUCCGGAUUUAUUGGGCGUAAAGGGCUCGUAGGUGGUUGAUCGCGUCGGAAGUGUAAUCUUGGGGCUUAACCCUGAGCGUGCUUUCGAUACGGGUUGACUUGAGGAAGGUAGGGGAGAAUGGAAUUCCUGGUGGAGCGGUGGAAUGCGCAGAUAUCAGGAGGAACACCAGUGGCGAAGGCGGUUCUCUGGGCCUUUCCUGACGCUGAGGAGCGAAAGCGUGGGGAGCGAACAGGCUUAGAUACCCUGGUAGUCCACGCUGUAAACGGUGGGUACUAGGUGUGGGGUCCAUUCCACGGGUUCCGUGCCGUAGCUAACGCUUUAAGUACCCCGCCUGGGGAGUACGGCCGCAAGGCUAAAACUCAAAGGAAUUGACGGGGCCCCGCACAAGCGGCGGAGCAUGCGGAUUAAUUCGAUGCAACGCGUAGAACCUUACCUGGGUUUGACAUGGAUCGGGAGCGCUCAGAGAUGGGUGUGCCUCUUUUGGGGUCGGUUCACAGGUGGUGCAUGGCUGUCGUCAGCUCGUGUCGUGAGAUGUUGGGUUAAGUCCCGCAACGAGCGCAACCCUUGUUCACUGUUGCCAGCACGUUAUGGUGGGGACUCAGUGGAGACCGCCGGGGUCAACUCGGAGGAAGGUGGGGGUGACGUCAAGUCAUCAUGCCCCUUAUGUCCAGGGCUUCACGCAUGCUACAAUGGCUGGUACAGAGAGUGGCGAGCCUGUGAGGGUGAGCGAAUCUCGGAAAGCCGGUCUCAGUUCGGAUUGGGGUCUGCAACUCGACCUCAUGAAGUCGGAGUCGCUAGUAAUCGCAGAUCAGCAACGCUGCGGUGAAUACGUUCCCGGGGCU
This 1346-nucleotide ribosomal RNA is filed under the name uncultured bacterium. Its description in RNAcentral is "bacterial SSU rRNA". It matches the Rfam family "Bacterial small subunit ribosomal RNA", at positions 28 to 1381 of the family's 1533-position model. The record is from RNAcentral.